GACGAACGCUGGCGGCGUGCUUAACACAUGCAAGUCGAACGGAAAGGCCCUGCUUUCGUGGGGUGCCCGAGUGGCGAACGGGUGAGUAACCCGUGAGUCACCUGCCCUUGACUUUGGGACAACUUCAGGCAACUGGGGAUAAUACCGGAUAGGAGCUCCUGCUGCAUGGUGGGGGUUGGAAAGUAUCGGCGGAUGGGGAUGGACUCGCGGGUUAUCAGCUUGUUGGUGGGGUAGUGGCUUACCAAGGCUUUGGCGGGUAGUCGGCCUGGGAGGGGGGCCGGCCACAAGAGGACUGAGAGACGGCGCAGACUCGUACGGUGGGCAGUGGUGGGGAAUAUGACACAAUGGGCGGGAGCGUGAUGCAGCGGCGCCGCGUGUGGGAUGACGGCCAUCGUGGGGGAAAGCGCAGUCACCUGAGACGAAGCGGUAGUGACGGUAAUGGGAGAAGAAGCACCGGCUAACUACGUG
Molecule: ribosomal RNA, 468 nt
Filed under: uncultured bacterium
Lineage: Bacteria
Description: partial 16S ribosomal RNA
Rfam family: Bacterial small subunit ribosomal RNA
Source: RNAcentral